GACGAACGCUGGCGGCGUGCUUAAUACAUGCAAGUCGAACGGAAAGACCCUGCUCUUGUGGGGUGCUCGUGUGCCGAACGCGUGAGUAACACGCGAGUAACCUGCCCCUGUAUUUGGGAUAACUUCACGAAACUGGGGCUAAUAUCGGAUAGGAGCUCCUGCUGCACGGUGGGGGUUGGAAAGUUUCGGCGGUGUGGGAUGGUCUCGCGGGUUAUCAGCUUGUUUGUGGGGUAGUGGCUUACCAAGGCUUAGACGGGUAGCCCGCCUGGGAGCGUAGACAGGGACAUGGCGACUGAGAGACGGAGCAGAAGCGUACGGGAGGCAGAGGGGGAGAGUAUUGCACAACGGGCAGACGUGAGAUACAACAACGCCGCGUGCGUAAUGACGUCCUAUGGGUUAUGAACCGAUGUCGCCUGUAACGAGGAGGUAGUGACGGUAAUGAGUAAGAAAGCACCGGCUAACUACGUG
RNAcentral lists this ribosomal RNA (468 nucleotides) under uncultured bacterium. RNAcentral describes it as "partial 16S ribosomal RNA". It matches the Rfam family "Bacterial small subunit ribosomal RNA", at positions 28 to 507 of the family's 1533-position model. The record is from RNAcentral.